RNAcentral lists this ribosomal RNA (2836 nucleotides) under Salmonella enterica subsp. enterica serovar Typhimurium. Its description in RNAcentral is "partial 23S ribosomal RNA". It matches the Rfam family "Bacterial large subunit ribosomal RNA". The record is from RNAcentral. Lineage: Bacteria; Pseudomonadati; Pseudomonadota; Gammaproteobacteria; Enterobacterales; Enterobacteriaceae.
AAUCCAUAGGUUAAUGAGGCGAACCGGGGGAACUGAAACAUCUAAGUACCCCGAGGAAAAGAAAUCAACCGAGAUUCCCCCAGUAGCGGCGAGCGAACGGGGAGGAGCCCAGAGCCUGAAUCAGCAUGUGUGUUAGUGGAAGCGUCUGGAAAGGCGCGCGAUACAGGGUGACAGCCCCGUACACAAAAGCGCAUGUGCUGUGAGCUCGAUGAGUAGGGCGGGACACGUGGUAUCCUGUCUGAAUAUGGGGGGACCAUCCUCCAAGGCUAAAUACUCCUGACUGACCGAUAGUGAACCAGUACCGUGAGGGAAAGGCGAAAAGAACCCCGGCGAGGGGAGUGAAAAAGAACCUGAAACCGUGUACGUACAAGCAGUGGGAGCACAGGUUUACCUGUGUGACUGCGUACCUUUUGUAUAAUGGGUCAGCGACUUAUAUUCUGUAGCAAGGUUAACCGUAUAGGGGAGCCGGAGGGAAACCGAGUCUUAAUUGGGCGUUAAGUUGCAGGGUAUAGACCCGAAACCCGGUGAUCUAGCCAUGGGCAGGUUGAAGGUUGGGUAACACUAACUGGAGGACCGAACCGACUAAUGUUGAAAAAUUAGCGGAUGACCUGUGGCUGGGGGUGAAAGGCCAAUCAAACCGGGAGAUAGCUGGUUCUCCCCGAAAGCUAUUUAGGUAGCGCCUCGUGAAUUCAUCUCCGGGGGUAGAGCACUGUUUCGGCUAGGGGGCCAUCCCGGCUUACCAACCCGAUGCAAACUGCGAAUACCGGAGAAUGUUAUCACGGGAGACACACGGCGGGUGCUAACGUCCGUCGUGAAGAGGGAAACAACCCAGACCGCCAGCUAAGGUCCCAAAGUCAUGGUUAAGUGGGAAACGAUGUGGGAAGGCCCAGACAGCCAGGAUGUUGGCUUAGAAGCAGCCAUCAUUUAAAGAAAGCGUAAUAGCUCACUGGUCGAGUCGGCCUGCGCGGAAGAUGUAACGGGGCUAAACCAUGCACCGAAGCUGCGGCAGCGAACGUAUCACCCAAGACAACUUUACGGAGUUGACGAUUGACGGAGCGAAGCGACGUCAAAGCGUUCAUUAAAGUCGAGUUGGCUUAGGGAUACGUUCGUUGGGUAGGGGAGCGUUCUGUAAGCCUGUGAAGGUGUGUCGUGAGGCAUGCUGGAGGUAUCAGAAGUGCGAAUGCUGACAUAAGUAACGAUAAAGCGGGUGAAAAGCCCGCUCGCCGGAAGACCAAGGGUUCCUGUCCAACGUUAAUCGGGGCAGGGUGAGUCGACCCCUAAGGCGAGGCCGAAAGGCGUAGUCGAUGGGAAACGGGUUAAUAUUCCCGUACUUGGUGUUACUGCGAAGGGGGGACGGAGAAGGCUAUGUUGGCCGGGCGACGGUUGUCCCGGUUUAAGCGUGUAGGUGUGUGUUCCAGGUAAAUCCGGUUCACUUUAACACUGAGGCGUGACGACGAGGCACUACGGUGCUGAAGCAACAAAUGCCCUGCUUCCAGGAAAAGCCUCUAAGCAUCAGGUAACAUCAAAUCGUACCCCAAACCGACACAGGUGGUCAGGUAGAGAAUACCAAGGCGCUUGAGAGAACUCGGGUGAAGGAACUAGGCAAAAUGGUGCCGUAACUUCGGGAGAAGGCACGCUGACACGUAGGUGAAGUGAUUUACUCAUGGAGCUGAAGUCAGUCGAAGAUACCAGCUGGCUGCAACUGUUUAUUAAAAACACAGCACUGUGCAAACACGAAAGUGGACGUAUACGGUGUGACGCCUGCCCGGUGCCGGAAGGUUAAUUGAUGGGGUCAGCGCAAGCGAAGCUCCUGAUCGAAGCCCCGGUAAACGGCGGCCGUAACUAUAACGGUCCUAAGGUAGCGAAAUUCCUUGUCGGGUAAGUUCCGACCUGCACGAAUGGCGUAAUGAUGGCCAGGCUGUCUCCACCCGAGACUCAGUGAAAUUGAACUCGCUGUGAAGAUGCAGUGUACCCGCGGCAAGACGGAAAGACCCCGUGAACCUUUACUAUAGCUUGACACUGAACAUUGAGCCUUGAUGUGUAGGAUAGGUGGGAGGCUUUGAAGUGUGGACGCCAGUCUGCAUGGAGCCGACCUUGAAAUACCACCCUUUAAUGUUUGAUGUUCUAACGUGGACCCGUAAUCCGGGUUGCGGACAGUGUCUGGUGGGUAGUUUGACUGGGGCGGUCUCCUCCUAAAGAGUAACGGAGGAGCACGAAGGUUGGCUAAUCCUGGUCGGACAUCAGGAGGUUAGUGCAAUGGCAUAAGCCAGCUUGACUGCGAGCGUGACGGCGCGAGCAGGUGCGAAAGCAGGUCAUAGUGAUCCGGUGGUUCUGAAUGGAAGGGCCAUCGCUCAACGGAUAAAAGGUACUCCGGGGAUAACAGGCUGAUACCGCCCAAGAGUUCAUAUCGACGGCGGUGUUUGGCACCUCGAUGUCGGCUCAUCACAUCCUGGGGCUGAAGUAGGUCCCAAGGGUAUGGCUGUUCGCCAUUUAAAGUGGUACGCGAGCUGGGUUUAGAACGUCGUGAGACAGUUCGGUCCCUAUCUGCCGUGGGCGCUGGAGAACUGAGGGGGGCUGCUCCUAGUACGAGAGGACCGGAGUGGACGCAUCACUGGUGUUCGGGUUGUCAUGCCAAUGGCACUGCCCGGUAGCUAAAUGCGGAAGAGAUAAGUGCUGAAAGCAUCUAAGCACGAAACUUGCCCCGAGAUGAGUUCUCCCUGAGACUUAGAGUCUCCUGAAGGAACGUUGAAGACGACGACGUUGAUAGGCCGGGUGUGUAAGCGCAGCGAUGCGUUGAGCUAACCGGUACUAAUGAACCGUGAGGCUUAACCUUACA